RNAcentral lists this ribosomal RNA (253 nucleotides) under uncultured bacterium. RNAcentral describes it as "partial 16S ribosomal RNA". It matches the Rfam family "Bacterial small subunit ribosomal RNA", at positions 524 to 776 of the family's 1533-position model. The record is from RNAcentral.
UACGUAGGGGGCAAGCGUUGUCCGGAUUUAUUGGGCGUAAAGAGCGUGUAGGCGGCCAUACAGGUCAGCUGUGAAAACUCGAGGCUCAACCUCGAGACGUCGGUUGAAACCGUAUGGCUAGAGUCCGGAAGAGGAGAGUGGAAUUCCCGGUGUAGCGGUGAAAUGCGCAGAUAUCGGGAAGAACACCUAUGGCGAAGGCGACCAUCUGGGGUUGUUCUGACGCUGAGGAGCGAAAGCUAGGGGAGCAAACGGG